This 1221-nucleotide long non-coding RNA is filed under the name Eucalyptus grandis. RNAcentral describes it as "long non-coding RNA (EGRA_LNC002706)". Lineage: Eukaryota; Viridiplantae; Streptophyta; Magnoliopsida; Myrtales; Myrtaceae. The record is from RNAcentral.
UUUUUUAUCAUGAAAUGAGAAGCACUCAUUACAAAAUGGGAUAUUAAUAAUCAGUUAAUGUAAGACAAAAAUAAUAAUAAUAAUAACCAACACAAUGGAAAUAAAAAGAUAAAUGAAAAAAAUCACAUAUAUAUGAGGGAACCGCCGCAUCUAACCACAACUACGCCCUUCUCGUACGAAUCACGACAAGCUGUCUUCAAUGAUCUCGUUUCACACACCUUGCAUAACCAGGGCAAGAUCAUGCCUUGAAGAAGUUUUCAAGUUGAAUAUGGCAGAGUACUUGACUUUCAUUACUCUUAUGCUCCUGUGCAAGGAAAUUGUUGGGCUUCCUUUUGCAGGCUUCUUGGUUUUUCAGGCCCUCACUGGCCUCUGCUUGAGUCUUCAAGCCUCUUUUAUAAAGAUUUGUCUUCCGAACCAGGCACUUGCAGAAGGAAGGAUAUGUCGCAAGGCUUCCGUAAAGGGAAGUGAUAUAGCAGCAACGGCAGAAGUUAAAUAGAGCUUUAACAAAUGAUGGACUGCAUUUGAGGAUGAUGUGAAACAACAUAAAUCUAGGGUGACUGCUCGAGAGUGAGAUUUCUAGUCGAUGCCCAAAAUAAUCAAAUAAUUUGACACCACUUAUCUCUAUAGGUUACCACGGGCAAAUCUUUAAUGUUGUAUCUGUAGCAGCAUCUCAUUCUACUGGCUUGCAUCAAGCAAGAGUAAGACAAGUCAAUACGGUCCACUCAUCUAGUGAACAUCCUCUGUACAAGGUAGUCGAGUCCUGAAAAAGUCUCAUCACCCUUUAGUUGAACAUGAUCAUAAUAAGCACUGGAAACGAGUCUCAUCUAAGCUCACAUGACCCUUCAGCUCCAAGGAAGAGAUAUAAGCACCGAACCAGAGCAGGAUAAAAGCGAUAGACUUUAUUUAAUUCCAGCUUAAACAUUUUGAGUCAUAAAUUCUUGAGAAAAUGGAUCUUGCAACAAUUUAUAAUUAUUUGUGAUUUGAAUUUUUGUGAUCCAGAAUUGAUUACUAUUCUCACAAGGGCAACCGCCAUGGGCAAGCUAAGGUCCUGCCUCCAACACCCAAAAACUCGUUUUCUUCAACCGAUUGAUGGUGGGAAUCGGGGGAUAAUCCAGUCUGGUUGAGUGAGUCGGCACAUACAAAGAACGGAGCAGUCGAGCGAAGAGAGAACCAGCGAAACAAAAGAAAGAGGCAAGGCAUAACUGAGGGUUUCAUUUUUCA